UGCAGAGAGUGAAACACAUGGU
RNAcentral lists this non-coding RNA (22 nucleotides) under Arabidopsis thaliana (thale cress). Lineage: Eukaryota; Viridiplantae; Streptophyta; Magnoliopsida; Brassicales; Brassicaceae. The record is from RNAcentral.